RNAcentral lists this ribosomal RNA (554 nucleotides) under Fusarium oxysporum f. sp. ciceris. RNAcentral's name for it is "eukaryotic LSU rRNA". The stretch from base 166 to 319 matches the Rfam family "5.8S ribosomal RNA". Lineage: Eukaryota; Fungi; Ascomycota; Sordariomycetes; Hypocreales; Nectriaceae. The record is from RNAcentral.
CGGAGGGAUCAUUACCGAGUUAUACAACUCAUCAACCCUGUGAACAUACCUAUAACGUUGCCUCGGCGGGAACAGACGGCCCCGUAACACGGGCCGCCCCCGCCAGAGGACCCCCUAACUCUGUUUCUAUAAUGUUUCUUCUGAGUAAACAAGCAAAUAAAUUAAAACUUUCAACAACGGAUCUCUUGGCUCUGGCAUCGAUGAAGAACGCAGCGAAAUGCGAUAAGUAAUGUGAAUUGCAGAAUUCAGUGAAUCAUCGAAUCUUUGAACGCACAUUGCGCCCGCCAGUAUUCUGGCGGGCAUGCCUGUUCGAGCGUCAUUACAACCCUCAGGCCCCCGGGCCUGGCGUUGGGGAUCGGCGGAAGCCCCCUGCGGGCACAACGCCGUCCCCCAAAUACAGUGGCGGUCCCGCCGCAGCUUCCAUUGCGUAGUAGCUAACACCUCGCAACUGGAGAGCGGCGCGGCCACGCCGUAAAACACCCAACUUCUGAAUGUUGACCUCGAAUCAGGUAGGAAGUACCCGCUGAACUUAAGCAUAUCAAUAAGCGGAGGAA